This 504-nucleotide ribosomal RNA is filed under the name uncultured bacterium. RNAcentral's name for it is "bacterial SSU rRNA". It matches the Rfam family "Bacterial small subunit ribosomal RNA", at positions 1 to 460 of the family's 1533-position model. The record is from RNAcentral.
GCUCGUGUACUCCGAAUGCUCUAGAUUAAAAGUUUGAUCCUGGCUCAGGCAGAGCGGUAACGGCGUGCCUAAUACAUGCAAGUCGAGCGAACAGAGAAGGAGCUUGCUCCUUUGACGUUAGCGGCGGACGGGUAGAGUAACACGUGGGCAACCUACCUUAUAGUUGGGAUAACUCCGGGAAACCGGGGCUAAUACCGAAUAAUCUAUUUUACUUCAUGGUAAAAUACUGAAAGACGGUUUCGGCUGUCGCUAUAAGAUGGGCCCGCGGCGCAUUAGCUAGUUGGUGAGGUAACGGCUCACCAAGGCGACGAUGCGUAGCCGACCUGAGAGGGUGAUCGGCCACACUGGGACUGAGACACGGCCCAAGACUCCUACGGGAGGCAGCAGUACGGGAAUACUUACCACAAAUAGGGCGAAAGCCUGAUGGAGCAACGCCGCGUGAGUGAAGAACGGUANAUCGGAUCGUCACAAACUCUGUUGUACACGGGAAGAACAAGUACAGUA